CGAAAGCCUGACGGAGCAAUACCGCGUGAGGGAGGAAGGCUCUUGGGUUGUAAACCUCUUUUCUCAGGGAAGAAAGAUGACGGUACCUGAGGAAUCAGCAUCGGCUAACUCCGUGCCAGCAGCCGCGGUAAUACGGAGGAUGCAAGCGUUAUCCGGAAUGAUUGGGCGUAAAGCGUCCGCAGGUGGCAGUUCAAGUCUGCUGUUAAAGACUGGGGCUUAACCCUGGAAAGGCAGUGGAAACUGAACAGCUAGAGUGCGGUGGGGGCAGAGGGAAUUCCUGGUGUAGCGGUGAAAUGCGUAGAGAUCAGGAAGAACACCGGUGGCGAAAGCGCUCUGCUAGGCCGCAACUGACACUCAGGGACGAAAGCUAGGGGAGCG
This 378-nucleotide ribosomal RNA is filed under the name uncultured cyanobacterium. Its description in RNAcentral is "bacterial SSU rRNA". It matches the Rfam family "Bacterial small subunit ribosomal RNA", at positions 376 to 770 of the family's 1533-position model. The record is from RNAcentral. Lineage: Bacteria; Bacillati; Cyanobacteriota.